Molecule: unclassified non-coding RNA, 16044 nt
Filed under: Diabrotica virgifera virgifera (western corn rootworm)
Lineage: Eukaryota; Metazoa; Arthropoda; Insecta; Coleoptera; Chrysomelidae
Description: sushi, von Willebrand factor type A, EGF and pentraxin domain-containing protein 1
Source: RNAcentral
UUCAGUACUGUAGCGUAGACUCUGUUUGGUAGGUGAGGUUAAUAAGUGAGUGCGCCGAGAAAAUUACCGUUGGUUCUGUCAGUUUUUUUAUUACCAAGGAAUUUGAACUGUUUACUCGGUUUUCACAUGUGCUUUUCUUCUAGUUCUUGUGGAUUUUAACUCAAGGGGAUGCUGAUACGUAUACAGGCGGCCUUCCUGGUCGCCAUAGUAUUUUUAUAUAGGGAUACAUUAGCACAGAAUUCGACAAAUAGUUUAUUUAGCUGUCCAGCAGGAUGGGAACUACGGGGUCUCAACUGUUAUAAAUUUUUCAAUAUUAGGCAUUCGUGGGAAAAAGCGGCGGAACUUUGUAGAAGAUAUGGUAGUGAAUUAAUGGCAGUAGAAUCAUAUAGUGAAAAUAACGUAACAGCAUCAAUAGCGACGUCUUCAGUGCCACUAGAAAGGCGAGGUGCCAACCAUUACUGGCUGGGUCUCUCCUCAUUAGAUGAUUUAAGGACGAACACUCUUGAAUCCGCUGCUGGUACCUUAGUAUCUCAAUAUUCAGGUUUCUGGUCUCCCAACCAACCCGACCCACAAUCCGGAGAGUGUGUAGACGUUAUCGUAACCGAAGAAUUCCAAUCAUGGGAACUAACCACUUGCGAAAGCCUUCAACCCUUCAUGUGUCGAUCGAAAGCAUGCCCAGCGGCAUCAUUCCACUGCUCAAAUGGGUUGUGCAUAAACGAAAAGUUCAAAUGCGACAAACAGGAUGAUUGUGGAGAUGGUUCCGAUGAAAUCGACUGUGCCACCAACUGCAACUUCUAUUUGGCCAGUAGUGGGGAUGUGGUUGAAAGCCCGUACUAUCCACACAAGUAUGCACCACUGACCAAUUGCAAAUGGACGCUAGAAGGACCACAAGGUCACAACAUUCUUCUCCAAUUUCAAGAAUUCGAAACAGAAAAGACCUUCGACACAGUCCAGAUUCUAGCAGGAGGAAGAACUGAAGACACAUCUAUCAAUCUAGCUACCCUUUCCGGAAAACAAGACCUUACUAACAGGUCAUUCGUCUCAGGCUCUAACUUUAUGAUAAUUAAAUUUAGUACAGACGCUUCGGUAGAAAGAAAAGGAUUCCGAGCUUCUUGGAAAACAGAACCACAAACUUGUGGUGGAACGCUUCGAGCUACUCCUCAAGGACAGGUUCUUACUUCUCCUGGAUACCCUGAACAAUAUCCAGGAGGUUUGGAAUGUUUGUAUGUAAUUCAGUCACAAGGAGGAAAGAUAAUAACUUUGGAAGUAGAUGAUUUGGAUUUGGAUGAUAACCGUGACUUUAUUUUGGUGAGGGAUGGCGAUUCACCCAAAAGCAAACCAAUUGCUAGGCUAACUGGAAAGUGGGAGAAUAAUCAAAAGGUGAUUAUGUCAACAGGGAAUCAACUAUAUGUUUACUUUAGAACACGUUUAGGCGACUCAAAACGAGGAUUCAGGAUCAGGUAUACACAAGGAUGUAAAGCAACAAUUGUGGCUAAAAAUGGGACUAUAUCAUCACCAGCUUUCGGUUUAGAAAACUAUCCUAGCAAUCAAGAAUGUAUGUACAAGAUUAGAAAUCCUGGAGGCCAACCCUUAUCCUUAAAUUUCCCACAUUUUGAAGUCGACAAAUCAGAUUUUGUACAAGUUUAUGAUGGAUCGACCACCAGUGGAUUACGAUUGCACUCAGGAAAUGGAUUUACAACAGGAACAAAACCAAAAAUCACCUUAACUGCUUCAAGUGGGGAAAUGCUAGUCAGAUUUGUGACAGAUGCUUUACAUAGUAACGAAGGAUGGGAAGCAGUAUUUUCAGCUGAUUGUCCACCUCUGCAACCUGGAAUUGGUGCUUUAGCAUCUAGUAGAGAUACAGCCUUCGGAACCAUCAUUACGUUUAGCUGUCCUACUGGGCAAGAAUUUGCAACAGGUAGAAAUCGUAUAACUACUCAAUGUUUGCCUGGAGGAAACUGGUCCAUAAGCUACAUCCCGAAAUGCCAAGAAGUCUAUUGUGGACCAGUACCUCAAAUUGACAACGGAUUCUCAAUUGGUUCGAGCAAUGUAACCUACAGAGGUCAAGCAAUGUAUCAGUGUUAUGCAGGUUUUGCUUUUCCCACAGGACAAGCUAUUGAACGGAUAUCUUGUUUGUCUGAUGGUCAUUGGGAGAAAAAACCAAAUUGUUUAGCAUCUCAAUGUGCAACAUUGCCUGAAGUUCCUCAUGCUAAUGCUACCAUUUUGAAUGGCUUAGGCAGAUCAUAUGGUACAAUUAUGAGAUACGAAUGCGAACCUGGAUACAUCAGAAGUGGACCACCUGUAAUAUUGUGCAUGAGUAAUGGAACUUGGUCGGGAGAUGUACCGGUUUGUUCACGUGCAAAAUGUCCCAAAUUCCCAGAAAUUCAAAACGGCUUCAUCACAGACAUUUCUAGAGACUACUACUACAACGACGAAGCACGUGUUCAGUGUUACAAAGGCUACAAACUUAUCGGCAACAGCAUCCUUAGAUGUGGCGAGAACCAGAUAUUUAAUAAUCCUCCCAGAUGUGAAGACAUCAACGAAUGUAUCAGCAGCCAAUGUGAUGUUGCUUCCACGGAAUGUGUGAACGUCCCAGGAUCUUUCCAUUGCAAGUGCAGAAAAGGAUUCGAAAGCACACAAGAAUGUAGACCAGUUGGUGAUUUGGGGUUGGUUAAUGGAGGAAUUCCUGAUGACUCGAUUACUGUGUCUAGCAGUGAACCAGGAUACGAGAAAUCGAUGGUUCGACUCAACGGAGCUGGCUGGUGUGGUAACACCAUCGAGGGAGGAUCCAAUUGGGUACUUAUUGACCUUAAAGCACCCACCGUUAUCAGAGGUUUCAGAACCAUGGCAGUUCAGCGAUUAGAUGGAAACAUAGCCUUUACUUCAGCAGUCAGAAUACAAUACACCGACGAUCUCACCGACGUUUUUAAAGAUUACAGAAAUCCUGAUGGAUUAGCUGUUGAGUUUACCAUCGAGAAACCAACCUUAUCUAUUUUAAAUCUUCCUGUACCGAUAGAAGCCCAGUUUAUCAAAUUUAAGAUUCAGGACUACGUAGGUGCACCUUGUUUGAAAAUAGAAGUAAUGGGUUGCACAAGGCUAGAGUGUGCUGAUAUUAAUGAAUGUGCAGUUAAUAAUGGAGGAUGUCAGCAGAAAUGUGUCAAUAGCGCAGGAGACUAUUCUUGCAAUUGUAAUGUUGGUUUCGAGCUCUACACCCAAAAUGGAACGGCGUCAAUUUACGUAGAGAAUUCUGAAAAUGGUCACAGAGAUGGAGAUGUGUAUCAAAUUGACAAAUCUUGUGUACCUGUCAUGUGUCCUACACUUACGUCUCCUGAAAACGGAGUCAUAUUAACCACCAAAGAUAAAUAUCACUUUGGAGAUCUAGUCAGAUUCCAGUGCGAUUUCGGUUAUGUCAUGACCGGAUCAACGUCUCUACUUUGCACUUCUUCUGGUGUAUGGAACGGAACAGUUCCAGAAUGCAAAUAUGCUCAAUGCGUGUCACUACCUGACAACAAAAACGAAGGACUAAAAAUAAUACGCAAUGAUGAAGACAGUGUCCUUGUACCUUUCCGAGAAAAUGUAACAUUGCACUGCAGUACUAAUGGAAGAGAGCUAAGGGGUACAGCAACUGCCGGAUUUAGACAGUGUGUAUACGAUCCCAAAGCAGGUUUUCCUGACUACUGGCUUAGCGGAGAUUUACCUUCUUGUCCACGAGUUGAUUGUGGUGUACCACCACCAAGUCCUGGAGCAGAGUACGGCCAGUACGUAGACACUAAAUACCAAUCAUCGUUCUUCUUUGGUUGCCAAAACACCUUCAAACUGGCUGGUCAAAGUAGUAAACACGACAACGUAGUCAGAUGUCAAGCUAACGGUGUUUGGGACUUUGGAGAUUUGAGAUGCGAAGGCCCAGUAUGUCAAGAUCCUGGAAGGCCCAGUGAUGGUUUCCAGAUCUCAAGAAGCUACGAACAAGGAUCAGAGAUUUCAUUUGGCUGUAAUAGACCUGGAUACAUACUUAUCAACCCAAGGCCUAUUACCUGUGUAAGAGAUCCUGAAUGUAAAGUUGUAAAGCCUCUAGGAAUAGCUUCUGGAAAGAUCCCCGAUUCAGCUAUUAACGCUACCAGUGAAAGACCAAAUUACGAAGCUAGAAAUGUACGGCUUAACUCCGUAACCGGAUGGUGUGGCAAGCAGGAAGCAUUUACCUACGUCAGCGUCGAUUUAGGGAAAGUGUACAGAGUAAAAGCUAUAUUGGUUAAAGGAGUUGUUACAAACGAUAUCGUGGGUAGACCUACUGAGAUUAGGUUUUUCUACAAACAAGCAGAUAAUGAAAACUACGUAGUUUACUUCCCUAACUUCAAUUUAACCAUGAGGGAUCCAGGAAACUAUGGAGAACUUGCCAUGAUAUCUUUACCCAAGUUUGUGCAAGCUAGGUUCGUUAUUUUGGGUAUAGUAAGUUAUAUGGAGAAUGCUUGUUUGAAGUUUGAAUUGAUGGGUUGUGAUGAACCCGAGAAGGAACCUCUACUGGGAUAUGAUUAUGGAUAUUCUCCUUGUGUUGAUAACGAAACUCCAGUGUUCCAAAGUUGCCCACAGCAACCAAUUAUUGUCCAAAAAGACGUAAAUGGUGGACUGCUUCCCGUAAACUUUACUGAACCAACUGCCGUGGACAAUUCAGGCAGUAUAGCCAGAUUGGAAGUAAAACCAGCAAGUUUUAGAACUCCGAUGUACGUGUUCGAUGAUAUGGUUGUCAAAUAUGUAGCUUAUGACUAUGAUGGAAACGUAGCCAUUUGUGAAAUCAACAUAACUGUCCCAGAUAAUACUCCACCUCAACUCAGCUGUCCUCAAAGUUAUGUAAUCGAAUUGGUUGAUAGGCAAGACAGCUACGCUAUUAACUUCAACGAAACGAGAAGAAGAUUAAACACCAGUGAUGCUUCUGGUGACGUACACAUCACUUUCAUCCCAGAUAAAGCGACCAUUUCUAUUGGAGCUUUUGAAAAUGUGACGGUUAUCGCUGCUGACAAGUAUGGCAACAAGGCAUCAUGUCACUUCCAAGUAUCAGUACAAGCAACACCUUGUGUAGAUUGGGAACUAAAACCUCCAGUUAAUGGGGCGCUUAACUGUUUACCAGGAGAUAAAGGACUACAAUGCAUCGGUACUUGCAACCCAGGAUUUAGAUUUACUGAUGGAGAUCCAGUGAAGACUUUCAUGUGCGAAACCAAUGGUCCUUGGAAACCUAGCUCUGUUAUUCCAGAUUGUGUAUCAGAAAAUACACAACAAGCCGACUACCAUUUUACCGCCUCAAUUAACUACAGAGCAAACGGAGCAGUAGCUAACUCCUGUUUGAACCAGUAUACUGAACUUUUGGCUCAAUACUACAAUAAUCUCAACACUCAAUUAUCAGACAGAUGUUCAGCAGUCAACGUAAAGAUGAAUGUUACCUUCAUCAAAUCUUUAGCUACCUUAGUUGAGGAGAAUGUAGUAAGAAUUGAUUAUAUUCUGGACAUAGUUCCUUUAUACAGGCAACCACAAAUCUACGAUUUGUGUGGUAGUACUCUUAAUCUAAUGUUUGAUUUAUCAGUUCCUUAUGCGAAUGCCGUUGUUGAACCUUUAUUAAAUGUGGCUGCCAUCGGCAAUCAGUGUCCACCUCUUAAAGCUCUAAAAUCUACAAAUGAAAGAGGCUUUACUUGUAACGUUGGCGAGGUACUUAAUAUGGACACGAACGAUGUACCAAGAUGCUUACAUUGCCCUGCCGGAACCUUUGCUGGUGAGAAACAAAAAGAAUGUACCUAUUGUCCAAAAGGUUUCUAUCAAAAUAGAGACAGGCAAGGCUCCUGCAACAGAUGUCCUCAAGGUACUUACACCCGCGAGGAAGGAUCAAAGAGCGUCCACGACUGUAUCCCUGUUUGUGGAUAUGGCACCUACUCCCCUACAGGAUUAGUACCUUGUCUCGAAUGUCCAAGGAAUAGUUUUACAAGCGAACCGCCAACAGGAGGAUUCAAAGACUGCCAGGCUUGUCCUGCGAACACAUUUACAUAUCAACCAGCUGCUGCAGGAAAGGAUAAAUGUAGACCAAAGUGUAGUCCUGGUUAUUACUCACCUACAGGCUUAGCGCCUUGUUCAAUGUGCCCCAAGAACUUCUAUCAAUCUAUUACAGGACAAACCGCCUGCAAUGAAUGUCCCAGUAACAUGAAGACAGAAGGACCUGGAGCCACAGGAAGAGACGAAUGUCGCGCUGUCCAGUGCAAAGAAAACGCUUGCCAACAUGGCGGACUCUGUAUCCCUAUGGGUCAUAAUGUUCACUGCUUCUGUCCUGCUGGAUUUACUGGCAGAAGAUGUGAAGUCGACAUCGACGAAUGUACCUCGCAACCAUGUUACAAUGGAGGAUCUUGCAUUGAUUUGCCACAAGGUUAUAAAUGUCAAUGUCCUCCGGGAUACUCUGGUAUUAACUGCCAAGAAGAGCGAUCAGACUGUUCGAAUGAUACAUGUCCUGCAAGGGCUAUGUGUAAAGAUGAACCUGGAUAUAACAACUAUACAUGUCUGUGUCGGUCUGGAUACACAGGAAUUGAUUGUGAUGUUACGAUCGAUCCAUGUACAGCAAAUGGAAAUCCGUGCAACAAUGGAGCCAGUUGUAUUGCUCUCCAACAGGGCAGAUUCAUGUGCGAAUGCUUACCAGGCUGGGAAGGGCAACUGUGCGAGACUAACAUCGACGAUUGUGCUGAGAAGCCUUGCUUGUUAGGAUCUAAUUGUACAGACUUAGUCAAUGAUUUCAGCUGUACUUGUCCCGCUGGUUUCACUGGAAAGAGAUGCCAAGAGAAAAUAAAUAUGUGCAGUAGCAGUCCAUGUAAGAAUGGAGUCUGUAUAGAUAAACUAUUCGACUACGAGUGCAUCUGCGACCCAGGUUGGACAGGUGAUAUAUGUGAAACAAACAUCAACGAUUGCCAACCUAAUCCUUGUCAAAAUGGAGGCCAUUGUGUUGAUGGAAUAGACGAUUUUAAGUGUACUUGUGAACCAGGAUUUACUGGAAAGAAAUGUCAGCAUACUUUAGAUUUCUGUUCGUCAAAACCAUGUCAAAACGGUGCUACUUGCACUGAUUUAGUCGAUGGUUUCUCUUGCAAAUGCAGACCAGGUUUUGUAGGACUUCAAUGCGAAGCUGAAAUUGACGAAUGUCUAAGUGAUCCUUGUAACUCAGUUGGAACUGAAAGAUGCGUCGAUUUGGACAACAAAUACGUGUGCAUGUGCAGAGAAGGGUAUACAGGAAAUGCUUGUGAGAUUAACAUCGACGAUUGUCAGUCCCAACCUUGCCUCAAUGGUGGGUCUUGCAGAGAUGAAGUUGGUUCUUACCGUUGUGUCUGCAAACCUGGAUGGACUGGUGGUAACUGCGAAGUUGAUAUCGGAAGCUGCCAAACCAGACCUUGUCAAAAUGAUGCCAGAUGUAUAGAUUUGUUCCAGGACUAUUUCUGUGUAUGUCCUUCGGGAACCGACGGAAAACAAUGUGAGACGGCACCAGAGAGAUGUAUCGGCAACCCUUGCAUGCACGGAGGAAAAUGCCAAGACUUUGGAUCAGGUCUAAACUGUUCUUGCAGUGAUGGUUUCAGCGGUAUUGGUUGUCAAUAUGAAUAUGAUGCCUGUCAAGUGAAAGCUUGUAAGAAUGGUGCUACUUGUACAAAUGACUUCCCUGGAUUCAAAUGUGUCUGUCCACCUGGAUAUACCGGCAAGUUCUGCGAGGAGGAUAUUGUUGAUUGUAAGGAGAAUUCUUGUCCACCCAGCGCCACUUGCAUAGAUCUAACCGGCAAAUUCUACUGUCAGUGUCCUUUCAACCUUACAGGAGAAGACUGUAGAAAAACAAUUUCUGUUGACUAUGAUCUCUACUUCAGUGAUGCUACUCGCAGCUCUGCUUCACAAGUUAUUCCCUUCUAUACAGGAUCCAAAUCUAGUCUUACCAUUGCAUUGUGGGUACAAUUCACGCAAAAAGAUGAAAAUGGAAUAUUUUUCACCUUGUAUAGUGUGUCUGACAAACAUGUUCCAAAUAAUAGACGUCCUAUAGUACAGGCUCACUCUAACGGUGUUCAGAUCUCUAUCUUCCCUGACUUACAAGAUGUAUACCUAAGUUAUCGGGACUAUACAACAAUAAACGAUGCUCAGUGGCACCAUCUUGCUAUCGUUUGGGACGGAGAAAAUGGUGGAGAGCUUAAACUAAUUACUGAAGGUCUCAUCGCUAGCAAAGUUAAGGGAUACGGAAGUGGAAGGAAACUACCACAGUAUGCUUGGGUUACUUUGGGUAAACCACAAACAGGAAAUCCUAAAGCCUACACUGAAUCUGGCUUCCAAGGACACCUGACAAAGGUACAAAUAUGGGGACGAGCCUUAGACGUUACAAACGAGGUACAGAAGCAGGUCAGAGACUGCAGAACGGAACCAGUAUUAUACAGAGGUUUAAUCUUAACAUGGGCUGGAUACGAAGAUACCAUUGGCGGUGUGGAAAGAAUAGUACCGUCUCACUGCGGACAACGCAAUUGUCCACCAGGAUACAAGGGAUCGAAGUGUCAAGAGCUAGAAGUUGACAAGAUACCUCCAAAGGUUGAGUACUGUCCUGGAGAUCUAUGGAUAAUAACCAAAAACGGAUCUGCUCUUGUAGUAUGGGAUGAACCAAGUUUCAGCGAUAACGUAGGAGUGGCUAAAGUUCAAGAGAAGAGUGGACAUAGACCUGGACAGACACUUUUGUGGGGAAUAUACCAAAUAGCUUAUGUAGCUUCUGAUGCUGCAGGAAAUACUGCCACCUGUACCUUCAAAGUAUCAGUUCUGUCUGAGUUCUGCCCUGAACUGCCUGACCCAAUUGGUGGUAUGCAGUCCUGCAAAGAUUGGGGCGCUGGUGGCCAAUUCAAGGUGUGCGAAAUCGGCUGUAACCCCGGCUUACGUUUCUCACAAGAGAUCCCACUAUUCUACACCUGUGGAGCUGAAGGCUUCUGGAGACCGACCAAAAAUCCCAACCUCCCUCUAGUCUAUCCAGCUUGUUCCUCAGCUAAACCAGCUCAAAGAGUCUUCAGAAUCGAAAUGUUGUUCCCUAGUUCAGUACUAUGUAACGAAGCUGGACAAGGAGUGCUUAAGCAAAAGGUACGACAUGCAGUAAACGCUUUGAAUAGAGACUGGAACUUCUGUUCAUUCUCUGUCGAUGGUACAAGAGAAUGCAAAGAGUUGAACAUUGAUGUUAAAUGCGACCACAGAGCUGGAAGACAGACCAGACAAGCUAGUGAAGAUGAAGAUGGUGGAACUUAUGUUAUUAAGACUGAUGUGCCAGUUGAAAAAAGUUCCCGACAAGGCAGACAGUCGUCCAGCGACACCUACGACAUUGAAAUCACCUUCCCAGCUAUCAAUGAUCCUGUGGUCAAUAUAAACACGAAUGAAAGGACGACGGUCAAAGCUCUCUUAGAGAAACUCAUUUUGGAAGAAGAUCAGUUUGACGUUGGAGAUAUUCUACCCAACACAGUGCCUGAUCCAUCUUCCCUUCUUCUUCAGUCCGACUACGCUUGUCCUGUUGGACAGGUUGUUAUGGCGCCAGAUUGUGUUCCUUGUGCUAUCGGUACCUACUACGACAAGGACACCAAAACAUGUAUAUCAUGUGCCAAAGGCUACUACCAAAGUGAAACUGGCCAGACUCAAUGUAUCCAAUGUCCAGCUAUAGCAGGUAGAUCAGGCGUCACUGUAACCGUCGGUGCUCGAAGUGCAGCAGAUUGUAAAGAACGCUGUCCCGCUGGUAAAUUCUACGACCAUGAAGCAGGCCUCUGUAGGAGCUGUGGAUACGGUUUUUACCAACCCAACGAAGGAUCCUUCUCUUGCGAAAUCUGCGGCCUCGGCAAAACUACACGAACCAACGAAGCAGUAUCGAUUAAGGAAUGUAGAGACGAAUGCGCUAAUGGUCUACAGCUAGGAAUCGAUGGUAAAUGUGAACCGUGUCCAAGAGGAACCUACAGAACCCAAGGUAUCGAAUCUGCUUGCCAGAUGUGUCCCUUGGACUAUACGACGCAGAAAACUGGAGCUGUCACAAGAGAGGAAUGUUCUUUGCCUGUGUGCAAACCGGGUACAUACUUGAAUGGAACUCUGAACAGAUGCGACGAGUGUAAGAAAGGAUUUUAUCAGUCAGAAUAUCAGCAGACUUCCUGUAUUCCGUGCCCUCCAAAUACGAGUACCAAAGGACCUGCAGGAACCAGCAAAUCCGAGUGUACCAAUCCCUGCGAGACCAAUGAUCCUGAAAUGCAAUGUGACGUCAACGCCUACUGCCUCCUCAUCCCCGAAGGGCCGAAGCAGGGCGAAUUCGACUGCGAGUGUAAACCUGGCUUUAACGGUACCGGCACAAUCGGUAACUGCUUUGAUGUCUGCGACGGAUAUUGCGAAAACGAAGGCACUUGCGUCAAAGAUGUUAGAGGGCAGCCAUCGUGUAGAUGUAUUGGCAGCUUUACUGGAAAGCACUGCGCAGAGAAAUCCGAAUUUGCUUAUAUUGUCGGUGGUAUUGCUGCUUCCGUCAUCCUUAUUAUCUUUAUCGUACUUUUGAUUUGGAUGAUUUGUGCAAGGGCAAGCCGAAGGAAAGAACCAAAGAAACUCCUCACUCCCGCCACCGAUCAGAACGGCUCCCAAGUAAACUUCUACUACGGAGCCCCAACUCCGUACGCCGAAAGCAUAGCUCCUAGUCAUCACUCCACAUACGCACACUACUACGAUGACGAAGAAGACGGCUGGGAGAUGCCCAACUUCUACAACGAGACCUACAUGAAGGAGAGCUUGCACAACGGAGUCAACGGCAAGAUGAAUAGUUUAGCUAGGUCUAAUGCCAGUAUAUAUGGUACAAAAGACGACCUCUACGAUAGACUGAAACGCCAUGCCUAUCCUGGCAAAAAAGAUAAAAGUGACAGUGAGAGUGAAGGUCAAUAAACUAAAUCUGGUCAUUAUCUGUCAAUGCUCAAGUAGCAAAUAUCUCUAGUGAAUAUUAUAUUAAUGCAUUUUUGAUGUAAGUACCAUACGAACGUUUAAUUUAUAUUUACACGUAACUAGGUACAUUUUGUAAUAUAUAAAUGAACAUUGUAUUUGUUGAACUAUAUUUUACGUAUAUUUAUAUUUCAUAGUGGUAGUUCUGUAAAUAUUAAAAUUGGUGGGGACAUAUACGUAACUUAGUACGUGAUUAGUUUUUUUCUACGAGUUAUAACUUCCACAAUACCUAUAGUCACAGCCGAGAAAAAACGCGCAAAACGCCGCUUGAGCAUCUUCCAAUGGAGUAAUCAUUCAAAAAGCUCAUUUUGGCACCCCCCAAACUCGGGUCCCGCCUGCAGUGCAUCCCUUGUAAGACAGUUAUCACCGGACCUGAAAAUAUCCUCUCUGUAUGAUUGAAUCAGGAUCUGUGAAUACUGUUCAGCCGUGCUUCUUCUUGGCGAUGAAUAUAAUAUACAGUUCUAAAUAAUAAUACUCUGAAGUAUAUAACUAUGUAAAAAAAGAUUAAGUACAUCUACAUAGGUUAUGGUUUGAGUUAAGAUGUACCCACAUUCCCGUUGUUUUUACGUGGUACUACGGUUUAGAAAGUGACAACUUUAUUAUACCAAUAUCACUGACUUUGUCACCUUUUAAACUAUUUCAAAGUAUCUUAAAGUUUAAUAACAACUUGUAUGAAAUUAUUUUACUGUUCUAGUAUUUAUUUAUUAAAAAUUAAAUUAUAAGUUUCAAUAUUUCUAUCAUAAAAUUGAAUCUUCUACAUCAAAAGUAUUAUACGCAUCACGUUUGCAGCAGAUAUUGCAGCUAGUUCGAUUCUCUAUAUUAAAAAUUCGAUUACAAAAUACAUUUUAAUGCGUUAAGACCCCGGAUCUUCAAACCACCGUUGUAUUUGAAUUGUCUGUACUAUCCUCACUAUGACGUAUAGAAAAUACUGAUUAUAAAGAACUUUCUUGGCGUGGAUUUUAAAAGUAUCCAUUUUAGUAGAAUAUGUCAAAUAAAUCAUGAAAAUGAUUGGGUGAUGCGAAGCAAAAAUACGCCUAAAGAAAUCCGGCUCAAAGGACCAUACCGAAAAACCGGAGGUUCAUUCACGAAUUUCCUGUUGGACAUCAAACCCUUGUGACGAUCUGCGGAAUUGGAUGUACUUGCAGGAUUUUGGAUGUAGAUUGCUGGUUCUAUUCGUCUUUUGUAGCAAAAAUACGUCUAAAGGAAUCCGGAUCUAAGGACCAUAAAGAAAAAAGUUACGAACAUGGCAUAGAAUUGCACAUAUUGUUUAUUGAUUUCCAGCAGGCUUUCGACAGCAUCUACAGAAAACAGCUAUUAAAAGAAAUGAAAAAUAUGAAUAUACCUGCAAAAUUAAUAAGAUUGACCAGAAUGACAAUGAUGGACACAACAGCAAAGGUCAAAACAGUGGAUGGUGAAACGAAGAAUAUCAACAUAGAACACGGGGUAAGACAAGGUGACAGCCUAUCGACAACGCUCUUUAAUAUAGCCUUGGAGGGAGUAAUUAAAAACACAGGACUAACAAAAAAGACAAUAAUCCAAAGUUCUACACAAAUAAUAGGGUAUGCAGACGACCUAGGGUUGAUAGCCCGUGACAAGAGAAGUCUAGAAGAUGCACUGCUAACAUUGACAAGAGAGGCAAAAAUCAGGGGGUUAAUAAUUAAUCAGAAAAAAACAAAAUACUUAAUAAGUACGAGAAAUCAAGACCAAGUAAAUAGAAUAAAAGAGAUAAGAAUAAGUGAUAAUGUAUUCCAAAGGGUUGACUGCUUUAAAUACUUAGGAGUGAUAGUAGAUGGUCAAAACAGAAGAAACAUAGAGAUAAAUGAAAGAGUUAAAGCAGGGAAUAGGGAAUUCUGGAAAUACCACAAGUUACUUAAAGAUAAAAACCUAAGCAAGAAAACAAAGACAAAGAUAUAUAGAGCGGCAAUUAGACCAGUCAUCACUUAUGGAGCAGAAGCAAUGUGCUUUACAAAAAAAGAUGAAGAAAAACUGAGAAUAAUAGAAAGAAAAAUUAUUAGAAGAAUACAUGGCCCAAUCAAAACAGAUCAAGGAGAAAUACGAAUUCUGAUGAAUCACGAAAUAAGAAAUCUAAUGAAAGGAGAAGAUAUAGUGAGAUUCAUUAAAGCACAAAGGCUAAAAUGGUUUGGCCACAUCCAACGAAGACAAGCAGAUGCACUAAUUAGGCAGAUAACAAAUUGGACGCCAGUAAUAAACAGACCUAGAGGAAGACCGAAAAUAAGAUGGGAAGACCAACUGCGAGAGGAUAUAUCCAAUAUGGAAAUUACAGGCUGGAGAGAAAAAAUACAGAAUAGGAAAGAAUGGAAACAGAUUACAGAAAAAGCAAAAAAACACGAAAAUCUAUAAAGGAUAAUGAAGAGGAAUUAUGCGGACCAAUCCACCGCAUGAAAUGGAUUAAAAGAGCUCAUGAACCUGAGCGACCUAUACUCUAUACUAGAGUGACCGGUCUAUAUAUAUGUCAAAUAAAUCAUGAAAAUGAUUGGGUGAUGCGAAGCAAAAAUACGCCUAAAGAAAUCUGGCUCAAAGGACCAUACCGAAAAACCGGAGGUUCAUUCACGAAUUUCCUGUUGGACAUCAAACCCUUGUGACGAUCUGCGGAAUUGGAUGUACUUGCAGGAUUUUGGAUGUAGAUUGCUGGUUCUAUUCGUCUUUUGUAGCAAAAAUACGUCUAAAGGAAUCCGGAUCUAAGGACCAUAAAGGAAAAGCGGGUGUUUAUUCACGAAUUUCGUAUUGGGCAUCAAAAUCAAACCUUUCUGACGACCUACCUAAUUGGCUGUACUCACAGGAUUUUGGGUGUAGGUUGCUGGAUCUGUUCGUCUCUUGUGGAAAUAGCACCGAAAUAGAAUCAUAUGGAGAAAUAAAAGUACCUGAAAUACCUUUUGCAUAAUCUCUAACCAAAUCAUUUAAUUUUACCGGCAAUAUGAUCGAAUUGGUAUUUAAACGAAUACCAUCCUUCAAUACAAGUCAAGUAUUUGUUGAAUGUAUAUUUGCAGAACUACUAUUCAUGUUGUUAAUACUUAUAUCCCAGUUAAACCUUUGUUAUGUAAAAUAUGUAUCAGGAGGACUGAUUUCUAAAACUACUAAACUGUACCUCGUGUCAUAUUGACAGUUAUUUUGACAGUAAAAUAAGUAAUGUAGAAAAGUAGAUCGUAUGCACACCUCAGAAAAAUCUAAUUUAACGGUUUGAACAACGUUACGUUUAUGUAUUGAAACAAGGUUUGUUGUAGUUUACUUUAAAGUACAAAAAUAUUAAUUACUUUUGUGUUAAGAGUGUCAGAAUAAUCGUUCCUUAUGUAGAAAAACUAUUCUUUUUUCUGUGCCCAAAUAACAUAGGUUUGAUUAUUGAAAUACAUAGGUUUGUUCCAACUCGACACAAAACCGUUCUUGAAUCGUUACGCGCAUGCGCAAUAACGAAUAAUUAUGCGCAGUAACACAUUUUUCGUUACUGCGCGUACUCGUAACCGUUCAAGAACGUUUUUGUUUCGAGUUGGAACAAACCUCAUGUAUACAGUUGAAAUUUAUUAUUAUUCCUGUAAAAACUUUUUUGUUUGUAGAGUUUGUUUAGCAGUAAAUGGUUGACUUAUAGUACCGACUAUAAACAUCCUGGGUUAACAGGUAAUAGUAUAAAAGGCCCGGUUUCAGGUAAAAUUUAAAUAUGUUUGAAUGUUUGUUUUUCUAUAAUCUUAGCAAUUAAAAUAGAUUUAAUUUAUUUUAAAACUCAUUUGAAAACAUUAAUUUUGGGUAUAUAAGACAAAGCAAUAUAUUUUACAUCCGUUUUUUGUUUUUGUCGUCGUGAUUAUUGUAAAUUUUGUGGAUCCUUUGCUUUAUUAUAGCAGUACCGUCUAGUCAGUGUUAAUUAUCAAAAGACCAACUCUGUCUACCUCGUUUGCUUAUCGCGCCGGACCGGUCUUAACAAUGGGCCAAGUCAGAUAAAUUUAAUAAUAUUUACGACCGCACUAAUUGAAGUCAACCAUUUACUGCUAAACAAACUUUACCUAAUACAUUUAUCGUGGUUUGUAAACGGUUUUAGCCCUUUAGUGAAAACAGCAAUUUUUAUUUUCAAAGAAAUUUUAUUCACUAACAUAAUCUCCGAUAGUAUAAUGCCGAUUAUAUCAAUAAAUGCAUUUCAUCCACUCGUCUUCCAGUGCCGUUUUAAUCUAUCAAUGAUGUUUACGAAGUAUGCAAGGUGCAACACCAAUGGCUUCUUUAUUCUUGAUUAUCUUAACCUUAAGAUCUGUUUUCAUCAACAAUUUCGUCUAAAGCAUAAAAAUUGUUAUUUCCUGGGGUAAUUUUCAAACAUCAUUGAGUCGGCUUACCCUAACCUAACUCAACAUUACCAAAACUUUUAUACAAAAACGAUAAGAACUGAUCCUGACGACUUCUAAUUAAGAUUUUAUCAGUAUUAAUGACAUCCAACAUUACUACUACAUUCCAAUAAAUUUUUCCAUUUUAAAUCACCAUUUAAAUCAUAUACAGCCGGAAAAAUGAAAGAUUACUCAUGAACGAUCACAUCAAUCACUUAUUUUGUAGGUAUUUGCUGUCUUUUUCUAUAACAAAAGUUUGUUAUAUAUAGAAAAAGACAGCAAAUACAAAAUAAAUGAUUGAUGUGAUCGUUCAUGGGUAAUCUUUCAUUUUUCCGACUGUAUUUACGUAGAGCCUGUUGAUCAAAAAUCUUCAGAAAUACCUUUCUCUGAUUAUUAUUAACUACAAAUCCAACGAACUUUAUACAACGAAUAUACAGAACUUUGUUUCAAGUAAAUGUUAUAGAAGUAAAAUAUAUUUUGUACAUUUUGUAAAAAUCUAAUGCGUUUAAAUAUGUUUUAUGAAAAUUUGAGUUUUAUAUCCAUUGCGUUGUGAACAGUUCAGCGUAGUUCAUAUUUUGUAAAAAAAAUCAAACGAUCUAUGAAUUAAAAUAUUUAAUUUAAAUAGGAAACAUUUAUAUUUUUAUAUUCUAACUUAGAUUUAUUAAAAUGUGUAUGUAUAUUGAAUCGUAUGUAUGAUAAACAGUGUGAAUAUUUUUAUACUUAAAAGAAUGACUGAAAAAUACAACAGAAAAAAUUG